This 468-nucleotide ribosomal RNA is filed under the name uncultured bacterium. Its description in RNAcentral is "partial 16S ribosomal RNA". It matches the Rfam family "Bacterial small subunit ribosomal RNA", at positions 28 to 507 of the family's 1533-position model. The record is from RNAcentral.
GACGAACGCUGGCGGCGUGCUUGACACAUGCAAGUCGAACGGAAAGGCCCUGCUUUUGUGGGGUGCUCGAGUGGCGAACGGGUGAGUAACACGUGAGUAACCUGCCCUUGACUUUGGGAUAACUUCAGGAAACUGGGGCUAAUACCGGAUAGGAGCUCCUGCUGCGUGGUGGGGGUUGGAAAGUUUCGGCGGUUGGGGAUGGACUCGCGGCUUAUCAGCUUGUUGGUGGGGUAGUGGCUUACCAAGGCUUUGACGGGUAGCCGGCCUGAGAGGGUGACCGGCCACAUUGGGACUGAGAUACGGCCCAGACUCCUACGGGAGGCAGCAGUGGGGAAUAUUGCACAAUGGGCGGAAGCCUGAUGCAGCAACGCCGCGUGCGGGAUGACGGCCUUCGGGUUGUAAACCGCUUUCGCCUGUGACGAAGCGUGAGUGACGGUAAUGGGUAAAGAAGCACCGGCUAACUACGUG